This 253-nucleotide ribosomal RNA is filed under the name uncultured bacterium. RNAcentral describes it as "partial 16S ribosomal RNA". It matches the Rfam family "Bacterial small subunit ribosomal RNA", at positions 524 to 776 of the family's 1533-position model. The record is from RNAcentral.
UACGGGGGGGGCAAGCGUUGUUCGGAAUUACUGGGCGUAAAGGGCUCGUAGGCGGCCAACUAAGUCAGACGUGAAAUCCCUCGGCUUAACCGGGGAACUGCGUCUGAUACUGGAUGGCUUGAAUCCGGGAGAGGGAUGCGGAAUUCCAGGUGUAGCGGUGAAAUGCGUAGAUAUCUGGAGGAACACCGGUGGCGAAGGCGGCAUCCUGGACCAAUACUGACACUGAGGAGCGAAAGCCAGGGGAGCAAACGGG